GAGUGGUUAAGGCGAAAGAUUAGAAAUCUUUUGGGCUCUGCGCGCAGUUCGAGUCCUGCAGUUGUCG
RNAcentral lists this transfer RNA (67 nucleotides) under Maudiozyma exigua. RNAcentral's name for it is "Kazachstania exigua partial transfer RNA". Lineage: Eukaryota; Fungi; Ascomycota; Saccharomycetes; Saccharomycetales; Saccharomycetaceae. The record is from RNAcentral.